RNAcentral lists this ribosomal RNA (39 nucleotides) under Lasmenia sp. LMS-2011a. Its description in RNAcentral is "partial 28S ribosomal RNA". The record is from RNAcentral. Lineage: Eukaryota; Fungi; Ascomycota; Sordariomycetes; Diaporthales; Apoharknessiaceae.
GACGGUCCAGCGGUUGCCCGGCCGUAAAACCCCCCCAAC